This 470-nucleotide ribosomal RNA is filed under the name uncultured Anaerolineaceae bacterium. Its description in RNAcentral is "bacterial SSU rRNA". It matches the Rfam family "Bacterial small subunit ribosomal RNA", at positions 897 to 1382 of the family's 1533-position model. Lineage: Bacteria; Bacillati; Chloroflexota; Anaerolineae; Anaerolineales; Anaerolineaceae. The record is from RNAcentral.
AAACUCAAAUGAAUUGACGGGACCCGCACAAGCAGCGGAGCGUGUGGUUUAAUUCGUUGCUACACGAAGAACCUUACCUGGGUUUGACAUAUAGGUUGUAGGGAACUGAAAAGGGACCGACCUUCGGGGAGCCUAUACAGGUGUUGCAUGGCUGUCGUCAGCUCGUGUCGUGAGAUGUUCGGUUAAGUCCGCUAACGAGCGCAACCCUCGUCGUAUGUUAUAUGUGUCAUACGAGACUGCCGGUAAAAAGCCGGAGGAAGGUGAGGAUGAUGUCAAGUCAGCAUGGCCUUUAUAUCCUGGGCUACACACACGCUACAAUGGCCAACACAAUAGGUUGCUAAGCCGCGAGGUGGCGCCAAUCCAUAAAGUUGGUCUCAGUUCAGAUUGUAGGCUGCAACCCGCCUGCAUGAAGAUGGAGUUGCUAGUAACCGCAGGUCAGCUAUACUGCGGUGAAUACGUUCCCGGGGCUU